Molecule: non-coding RNA, 118 nt
Organism: Arachis ipaensis
Lineage: Eukaryota; Viridiplantae; Streptophyta; Magnoliopsida; Fabales; Fabaceae
Source: RefSeq, a predicted model, not a curated record
UUCAAUAUAUAUAUAUAAUUUAUAUAUGCUUCACCGUCUAUCAUAAGGUACGUACAUUUUCAGUUUAAUAUGUGUAUUGCUUUGUUUCAGUUGUUAUAUAUCUAAUAUAGUUAUGUAU